GGAUAGAGCAGUUUGGUAGCUCGCAAGGCUCAUAACCUUUGAAUCGUGAGUUCAAAUCCUAUCUCCG
RNAcentral lists this transfer RNA (67 nucleotides) under Amborella trichopoda. It matches the Rfam family "tRNA". Rfam says of the family: Transfer RNA (tRNA) molecules are approximately 80 nucleotides in length. Their secondary structure includes four short double-helical elements and three loops (D, anti-codon, and T loops). Lineage: Eukaryota; Viridiplantae; Streptophyta; Magnoliopsida; Amborellales; Amborellaceae. The record is from Rfam by way of RNAcentral.